GAGUUUGAUCAUGGCUCAGAACGAACGCUGGCGGCAUGCCUAACACAUGCAAGUCGAACGCUCGUCUUCGGACGGGAGUGGCGCACGGGUGAGUAACGCGUGGGAACCUGCCCUGGGGUGGGGGAUAACCGAUGGAAACGUCGGCUAAUACUGCAUACGUCCUGAGGGAGAAAGAUUUAUCGCCCUGGGAGGGGCCCGCGUCGGAUUAGCUAGUUGGUGGGGUAAAGGCCUACCAAGGCGAUGAUCCGUAGCUGGUCUGAGAGGAUGAUCAGCCACACUGGGACUGAGACACGGCCCAGACUCCUACGGGAGGCAGCAGUGGGGAAUAUUGGACAAUGGGCGCAAGCCUGAUCCAGCAAUGCCGCGUGAGUGAUGAAGGCCUUAGGGUUGUAAAGCUCUUUCGGCGGGGACGAUGAUGACGGUACCCGCAGAAGAAGCCCCGGCUAACUUCGUGCCAGCAGCCGCGGUUAG
RNAcentral lists this ribosomal RNA (471 nucleotides) under uncultured bacterium. RNAcentral describes it as "bacterial SSU rRNA". It matches the Rfam family "Bacterial small subunit ribosomal RNA", at positions 9 to 524 of the family's 1533-position model. The record is from RNAcentral.